Molecule: transfer RNA, 77 nt
Filed under: Leucobacter alluvii
Lineage: Bacteria; Bacillati; Actinomycetota; Actinomycetes; Micrococcales; Microbacteriaceae
Also listed under: 2 other names
Description: tRNA-Val
Rfam family: tRNA
About the family: Transfer RNA (tRNA) molecules are approximately 80 nucleotides in length. Their secondary structure includes four short double-helical elements and three loops (D, anti-codon, and T loops).
Source: RNAcentral
GGGCCUGUAGCUCAGUUGGUUAGAGCAUCUCGUUUACACCGAGAGGGUCGGGGGUUCGAGUCCCUCCGGGCCCACCA